GAGUUUGAUCAUGGCUCAGGAUGAACGCCGGCGGUGUGCCUAAUACAUGCAAGUCGUACGCACUGGCCCAACUGAUUGAUGGUGCUUGCACCUGAUCGACGAUGGAUCACCAGUGAGUGGCGGACGGGUGAGUAACACGUAGGUAACCUGCCCUGUACAGGGGGAUAACAAUCAGAAAUGACUGCUAAUACCGCAUAAGACCACAGCACCGCAUGGUGCAGGGGUAAAAACUCCGGUGGUACAGGAUGGACCCGCGUCUGAUUAGCUGGUUGGUGAGGUAACGGCUCACCAAGGCGACGAUCAGUAGCCGGCUUGAGAGAGUGAACGGCCACAUUGGGACUGAGACACGGCCCAAACUCCUACGGGAGGCAGCAGUGGGGAAUAUUGCACAAUGGGGAAACCCUGAUGCAGCAACGCCGCGUGAGUGAAGAAGUAUUUCGGUAUGUAAAGCUCUAUCAGCAGGGAAGAAAGUGACGGUACCUGACUAAGAAGCCCGGCUAAC
RNAcentral lists this ribosomal RNA (502 nucleotides) under uncultured microorganism. Its description in RNAcentral is "bacterial SSU rRNA". It matches the Rfam family "Bacterial small subunit ribosomal RNA", at positions 9 to 501 of the family's 1533-position model. The record is from RNAcentral.